Molecule: ribosomal RNA, 486 nt
Filed under: uncultured bacterium
Lineage: Bacteria
Description: partial 16S ribosomal RNA
Rfam family: Bacterial small subunit ribosomal RNA
Source: RNAcentral
AUUGAACGCUGGCGGCAUGCCUUACACAUGCAAGUCGAACGGCAGCACGGGUGCUUGCACCUGGUGGCGAGUGGCGAACGGGUGAGUAAUACAUCGGAACAUGUCCUGUAGUGGGGGAUAGCCCGGCGAAAGCCGGAUUAAUACCGCAUACGAUCUACGGAUGAAAGCGGGGGACCUUCGGGCCUCGCGCUAUAGGGUUGGCCGAUGGCUGAUUAGCUAGUUGGUGGGGUAAAGGCCUACCAAGGCGACGAUCAGUAGCUGGUCUGAGAGGACGACCAGCCACACUGGGACUGAGACACGGCCCAGACUCCUACGGGAGGCAGGAGUUGGGAAUUUUGGACAAAGGGGCAAAGCCUUAUCCAGCAAUGCCGCGUGUGUUAAGAAGGCCUUCGGGUUGUAAAGCACUUUUUUCCGGAAAGAAAUCCUUGGGCCUAAAACGGUCGGGGGAUGACGGUACCGGAAGAAUAAGCACCGGCUAACUACGUG